UACGAAGGGGGCUAGCGUUGCUCGGAAUGACUGGGCGUAAAGGGCGCGUAGGCGGCUUACAUAGUCAGGCGUGAAAUUCCUGGGCUCAACCUGGGGGCUGCGUUUGAUACGUGUAGGCUUGAGUUCGGAAGAGGGUCGUGGAAUUCCCAGUGUAGAGGUGAAAUUCGUAGAUAUUGGGAAGAACACCGGUGGCGAAGGCGGAUCUCUGGGCCAUUACUGACGCUGAGGAGCGAAAGCGUGGGGAGCGAACAGG
RNAcentral lists this ribosomal RNA (253 nucleotides) under uncultured bacterium. RNAcentral describes it as "partial 16S ribosomal RNA". It matches the Rfam family "Bacterial small subunit ribosomal RNA", at positions 524 to 776 of the family's 1533-position model. The record is from RNAcentral.